Molecule: ribosomal RNA, 253 nt
Filed under: uncultured bacterium
Lineage: Bacteria
Description: partial 16S ribosomal RNA
Rfam family: Bacterial small subunit ribosomal RNA
Source: RNAcentral
UACGUAGGCAGCGAGCGUUGUUCGGAAUUACUGGGCGUAAAGAGUGUGUAGGCGGUGCUCUAAGUUCGGUGUGAAAUCUCCUGGCUCAACUGGGAGGGUGCGCCGGGAACUGGAGUGCUUGAGCGUGGGAGAGGAAAGCGGAAUUCCUGGUGUAGCGGUGAAAUGCGUAGAUAUCAGGAGGAACACCUGUGGUGUAGACGGCUUUCUGGACCAUAGCUGACGCUGAGACACGAAAGCGUGGGUAGCAAACAGG